This 503-nucleotide ribosomal RNA is filed under the name uncultured bacterium. RNAcentral's name for it is "partial 16S ribosomal RNA". It matches the Rfam family "Bacterial small subunit ribosomal RNA", at positions 30 to 523 of the family's 1533-position model. The record is from RNAcentral.
AUUGAACGCUGGCGGCAGGCUUAACACAUGCAAGUCGAGCGGGGUGAUGGUGCUUGCACUAUCACUUAGCGGCGGACGGGUGAGUAAUGCUUAGGAAUCUGCCUAUUAGUGGGGGACGACAUCUCGAAAGGGAUGCUAAUACCGCAUACGUCCUACGGGAGGAAGCAGGGGAUCACUUGUGACCUUGCGCUAAUAGAUGAGCCUAAGUCGGAUUAGCUAGUUGGUUGGGUAAAGGCCUACCAAGGCGACGAUCUGUAGCGGGUCUGAGAGGAUGAUCCGCCACACUGGGACUGAGACACGGCCCAGACUCCUACGGGAGGCAGCAGUGGGGAAUAUUGGACAAUGGGGGGAACCCUGAUCCAGCCAUGCCGCGUGUGUGAAGAAGGCCUUAUGGUUGUAAAGCACUUUAAGCGAGGAGGAGGCUCUUUUGGUUAAUACCCAAGAUGAGUGGACGUUACUCGCAGAAUAAGCACCGGCUAACUCUGUGCCAGCCGCCGCCGUAA